AUAAAAGGAUGACACAAUGCCAUCACUGAUGUAUAAUCUUCUGACCACAAUAGUACUAUGAUGGUAAUACAUGCAAAAUGAGUGUUUUAGAACAUUAUGCACAAUGUGGCAUAAUUACAGUGAUACUGGGUGCUUCUACCCAAGUACUAGUACUAAGGCUGAUGGCCUUAUUCGGGAAUCAGGGAAGCAUGAAGUGCUAAACUGUGAAAUGGCGAAAGAGAUAAGGUUCUCUACUGAUUCUCCACAAACCCAUCGAUUCAGUUGGCUUUGUUGUUUGCACUUUGCCCAGACCACAUCUCCAUGAGAAAUUAGGAACGGAGGAUGUGUCGCUGAUUGAAGGUUGUAGUCAUGCGCGUGGUGAGUGUCUCCACGACGUGGAACCGCCCCGUCUCUGUCGGCCGCCGGGCCAUGACUUGGCGUGGCCGUUGACCACCAUUUCCUUCAUCUGCCAUCCCUGGGCGCUACAUCUCGGAGGGAAAUGUUGUGCCAGCAGCCUAGGCCACGCUGCGCCGGAGGACGCCGCUUCUCCGGAUGCUAGACGAUUUGCCGCCGCUGAUGGAUGCGAGGGAUUGUGCGCCUCGCGUUAUGUGCCGGAGGGUGCUAUCGCUGGCCUGAUCGACGCCUGGUCGUGGCCGCUUCGGGCUGGUGCGGGAGGCCGCCCAUCUCCAGAGCAUGCUGUGCCUCGCCGUUGUACCUCACAUCGGGAGAAGAAACAACUCGCCAGAGGGCCAGAACGUGCUUUGAAGAUUGACGCCGCCGGCCCUGGGUCGGGUCGGAUACGCCUCCGCGUCGGGGCCUUCGGGCGUGAAGGGCGAGGCGCCGAGGCUUCUUCCGGAUGCCUGCAGGCAAGAAGGCCUCUCACUUCCGGCCAAUGGCCGUCUUCAUCGACGCAGGGUAUGCCGCAAUGCGGCUUCGAUGUUGUUUUUUCUCUGG
Molecule: long non-coding RNA, 933 nt
Filed under: Hordeum vulgare
Lineage: Eukaryota; Viridiplantae; Streptophyta; Magnoliopsida; Poales; Poaceae
Description: long non-coding RNA (HVUL_LNC013438)
Source: RNAcentral